GUCCCUCAGUAAUAUUGGCGUCAGUAAUAAUUCGUAGGUUCUUUAUUGAUAUUACUGACGGAUUUAUCUGUCAUAAUGUAACUCACUGAAUUAUUGAGGGAUUUUUCCGUCAAUAACGUUAUUGAGGAUUUUUUGGAUGUUACUGAAGGUUUAUUCCGCCAGUAAUUAUUAAAUUCCUCAUUAAUGCAAUUUUGAAUUGGUUAUUAAAUUGGGGAACUAUUUGCAGUGGGAAGUUAUUCAUGCAAAAGAACAAAUACCGCUCAAUGAGUCCCAAUUUACCGCUCAAUAGGUUUUGAUGGCCAUUCAUUAUUCUCAAAAUAUGUCAAUUUGUUGCUAUUCAGUAUAUAUUAUCCAGUUAAGAUCCUUUUGUUCUUCUUAUAUUUAUCCUAUCCCAUGAUCACUAUAUAUAGUUGCUGGUAUAUUAUUAAUUAUGAAUUUCAGUAUUUUUGUGCCCUUCUC
RNAcentral lists this long non-coding RNA (459 nucleotides) under Medicago truncatula (barrel medic). Its description in RNAcentral is "lncRNA gene14726". The record is from RNAcentral. Lineage: Eukaryota; Viridiplantae; Streptophyta; Magnoliopsida; Fabales; Fabaceae.